GACGAACGCUGGCGGCGUGCUUAACACAUGCAAGUCGAACGGAAAGGCCCUGCUUUUGUGGGGUGCUCGAGUGGCGAACGGGUGAGUAACACGUGAGUAACCUGCCCUUGACUUUGGGAUAACUUCAGGAAACUGGGGCUAAUACCGGAUAGGAGCUCCUGCUGCAUGGUGGGGGUUGGAAAGUUUCGGCGGUUGGGGAUGGACUCGCGGCUUAUCAGCUUGUUGGUGGGGUAGUGGCUUACCAAGGCUUUGACGGGUAGCCGGCCUGAGAGGGUGACCGGCCACAUUGGGACUGAGAUACGGACCAGAAGCCAACGGGAGGCAGCAGUGGGGAAUAUUGCACAAUGGGCGGAAGCCUGAUGCAGCAACGCCGCGUGCGGGAUGACGGCCUUCGGGUUGUAAACCGCUUUCGCCUGUGACGAAGCGUGAGUGACGGUAAUGGGUAAAGAAGCACCGGCUAACUACGUG
This 468-nucleotide ribosomal RNA is filed under the name uncultured bacterium. RNAcentral's name for it is "partial 16S ribosomal RNA". It matches the Rfam family "Bacterial small subunit ribosomal RNA", at positions 28 to 507 of the family's 1533-position model. The record is from RNAcentral.